Ixodes scapularis (black-legged tick) is the source of this 73-nucleotide non-coding RNA. Lineage: Eukaryota; Metazoa; Arthropoda; Arachnida; Ixodida; Ixodidae. The record is from Rfam.
CCCCGGUUAGCUGAGUUGGUAGAGCGCUCCACCUGUACUGGAGAGGUCCCGGGUUCGAUACCCGGAACAGGCG